UCGAGAAUCAUUCACAAUGGGGGAAACCCUGAUGGUGCGACGCCGCGUGGAGGAUGAAGGCCCUCGGGUCGUAAACUCCUGUCAAGUGGGAACAAGAAAGUGAUAGUACCACUAGAGGAAGAGACGGCUAACUCUGUGCCAGCAGCCGCGGUAAUACAGAGGUCUCAAGCGUUGUUCGGAUUUACUGGGCGUAAAGGGUGCGUAGGCGGCGAUGUAAGUCGAGUGUGAAAUUUCGGAGCUCAACUCCGAAACUGCACUCGAUACUGCGUUGCUAGAGGAUUGUAGAGGAGUGUGGAAUUCACGGUGUAGCAGUGAAAUGCGUAGAUAUCGUGAGGAAGACCAGUGGCGAAGGCGACACUCUGGGCAACUCCUGACGCUGAGGCACGAAGGCUAGGGGAGCAAACGGG
Molecule: ribosomal RNA, 407 nt
Filed under: uncultured bacterium
Lineage: Bacteria
Description: bacterial SSU rRNA
Rfam family: Bacterial small subunit ribosomal RNA
Source: RNAcentral